UGGGGAAUCUUCCGCAAUGGACGAAAGUCUGACGGAGCAACGCCGCGUGAGUGAUGACGGCCUUCGGGUUGUAAAGCUCUGUGAUCGGGGACGAAUGGCUGGUAUGCUAAUACCAUAUCAGAGUGACGGUACCCGAAUAGCAAGCCACGGCUAACUACGUGCCAGCAGCCGCGGUAAUACGUAGGUGGCAAGCGUUGUCCGGAAUUAUUGGGCGUAAAGCGCGCGCAGGCGGCUUCUUAAGUCCAUCUUAAAAGUGCGGGGCUUAACCCCGUGAUGGGAUGGAAACUGGGAGGCUGGAGUAUCGGAGAGGAAAGUGGAAUUCCUAGUGUAGCGGUGAAAUGCGUAGAGAUUAGGAAGAACACCGGUGGCGAAGGCGACUUUCUGGACGACAACUGACGCUGAGGCGCGAAAGCGUGGGGAGCAAACAGG
This 429-nucleotide ribosomal RNA is filed under the name uncultured bacterium. Its description in RNAcentral is "bacterial SSU rRNA". It matches the Rfam family "Bacterial small subunit ribosomal RNA", at positions 355 to 776 of the family's 1533-position model. The record is from RNAcentral. RNAcentral also lists the same sequence under 3 other names.